Molecule: ribosomal RNA, 397 nt
Filed under: uncultured bacterium
Lineage: Bacteria
Description: partial 16S ribosomal RNA
Rfam family: Bacterial small subunit ribosomal RNA
Source: RNAcentral
AUACGUAGGUGACAAGCGUUAUCCGGAUUUACUGGGUGUAAAGGGCGUGUAGACGGUUUAGCAAGUCAGAAGUGAAAUUCCCGGGCUUAACUUGGGCGCUGCUUCUGAAACUGCUUUACUUGAGUGCUGGAGAGGAUAGUGGAAUUCCUAGUGUAGCGGUAAAAUGCGCAGAUAUUAGGAGGAACACCGGUGGCGAAGGCGGCUAUCUGGACAGUAACUGACGCUGAGGCGCGAAAGCACGGGGAGCAAACAGGAUUAGAUACCCUGGUAGUCCGUGCCGUAAACGAUGAAUACUAGGUGUAGGGGGUAUCGACUCCCUCUGUGCCGCAGUUAACACAUUAAGUAUUCCACCUGGGGAGUACGGCCGCAAGGUUGAAACUCAAAUGAAUUGACGGGG